This 634-nucleotide ribosomal RNA is filed under the name uncultured bacterium. RNAcentral describes it as "bacterial SSU rRNA". It matches the Rfam family "Bacterial small subunit ribosomal RNA", at positions 878 to 1508 of the family's 1533-position model. The record is from RNAcentral.
GAGUACGGUCGCAAGACUGAAACUCAAAGGAAUUGACGGGGGCCCGCACAAGCGGUGGAGCAUGUGGUUCAAUUCGACGCAACGCGAAGAACCUUACCGGGGCUUGAACUGUAACUGCAACACUUGGAAACAGGUGGUUCUCUUCGGAGACGGUUAUAGAGGUGCUGCAUGGCUGUCGUCAGCUCGUGUCGUGAGAUGUUGGGUUAAGUCCCGCAACGAGCGCAACCCUUACUCUUAGUUGCCAACAGGUAAAGCUGGGAACCCUAAGAGAACUGUCGGCGAAAAGCCGGAGGAAGGUGGGGAUGACGUCAAGUCCUCAUGGCCCUUACGUCCCGGGCUACACACGUGCUACAAUGGCUGGUACAAAGGGUUGCCAACCCGCGAGGGGGAGCUAAUCCCAGAAAGCCAGUCCCAGUUCGGAUCGCAGUCUGCAACUCGACUGCGUGAAGUUGGAAUCGCUAGUAAUCGCAGAUCAGCACGCUGCGGUGAAUACGUUCCCGGGCCUUGUACACACCGCCCGUCACAUCACGAAAGUGGGUUGUACUAGAAAUCGCCGGGCUAACCCGCAAGGGGGGCAGGCGCUUAAGGUAUGAUCCAUGAUUGGGGUGAAGUCGUAACAAGGUAGCCGAAUCGA